UAAAAUUUUAAAAAACCCUGCUCUUUAAAAAUUUCAAUAUAGCUCUUACAUAUUUCAUGUGCUUAAAACUGUUUGUAUUCCCUUGUCUGAAAACUUUUAUUAAUAUAUUUUAAUCCUUUUGAACUAUUGGUCUUUUUGUUAUUGAUUUAUAGGAGUUCUUCAUAAAUUAGGAAAAUUAGCUCCUUGUCUACGAUAUGAGUUGUAAAUAUUUUCCCACAUUUCCAUUUGUCUUUAGACUUGGAAAUGCGUUGCCCACAUUAUUUUAUUUUUAUGUGUGUCAAUCUUUUCCAGGUUUUUGUGUCUUUCUUAGAAAGGCCUUCCUCACUCCAAGGUUGUCAUUACAACUGUUUAGAAACAUGCAUUUGUACUGAGAAGAGAGCAGCUGUUUUGCCAGGAUGAUGGAAUGUGGGAAGAUCCCUUCUGUUACGUAUUUCCUCUAGUAUUGCUAUCACAUAUGGGGAUACUAUUUUAAAAUAAAUGCCAUGGCCAAAGCAUGGUGUUGGUGCUUCUGAAAUGUUCUAGAACCAUGUUACUAGCUAUGACACGGACCCCUCCAUGCCUUGAUGAUGACUAGGCCUAAAGACCCUUCACCUACACAGGCCACUCAUGGUAUUGAGAGGUGCCUUAGCAACAGAUAAUCAUUAUUAUACCUUUUCUUAAAUUUGACAAACAGGCACUCCAGCAUCAGUCCCAUAAAACCUGGACUUACUACAGUAUCUACCUAGGAAGCACCAAAUAGCAUCUUGCACUGAUACCACGCUCUUAGAAGAGUCCAGCUGCUGGACGCAACCUGCAGAGGGACCGUAGAGAAGAUAAGGCUGGAGUGGGAAAGGAAGAAGAGGGAGUGAGGGUUUGGAACGGGAUGGUGCUGGAGGCAAUUAGGUAAUAACUUACCUGAGGACAACUUGAACCCAGAGCACUGUCUUUCAGAAGUCUACCAGCAUUACAGAAAACGCCUCUCUAAUUUUGGCCGUGGCUCCAACAGUAACUCAGAAAGAAGGCAAGACACUGGACAAGUAGCUGCAGCGCUCUUAGAGGUCACUGUGGAGGUGAGGAAGGCACAGCAGAGUGGAAAGGGCCCAAGCUUUGCCAACAGUAGAACCUGGACUUCAGCCUUCUCU
This 1121-nucleotide long non-coding RNA is filed under the name Homo sapiens (human). RNAcentral's name for it is "HSALNT0353513". Lineage: Eukaryota; Metazoa; Chordata; Mammalia; Primates; Hominidae. The record is from RNAcentral.